This 66-nucleotide transfer RNA is filed under the name Sclomina erinacea. RNAcentral describes it as "tRNA-Glu". It matches the Rfam family "tRNA". Rfam says of the family: Transfer RNA (tRNA) molecules are approximately 80 nucleotides in length. Their secondary structure includes four short double-helical elements and three loops (D, anti-codon, and T loops). Lineage: Eukaryota; Metazoa; Arthropoda; Insecta; Hemiptera; Reduviidae. The record is from RNAcentral.
AUUCAUAUAGUUUAAUGUUAAAACACUUCAUUUUCAAUGAAAAAAUGAACAUAAGUUCUAUGAAUA